GAUGAACGCUGGCGGCGUGCCUAAUACAUGCAAGUCGAGCGAACAGACGAGGAGCUUGCUCCUCUGACGUUAGCGGCGGACGGGUGAGUAACACGUGGAUAACCUACCUAUAAGACUGGGAUAACUUCGGGAAACCGGAGCUAAUACCGGAUAAUAUAUUGAACCGCAUGGUUCAAUAGUGAAAGACGGUUUUGCUGUCACUUAUAGAUGGAUCCGCGCCGCAUUAGCUAGUUGGUAAGGUAACGGCUUAUCAAGGCAACGAUGCGUAGCCGACCUGAGAGGGUGAUCGGCCACACUGGAACUGAGACAGGGUCCAGACGCCUACGGGAGGCAGCAGUAGGGAAUCUUCCGCAAUGGGCGAAAGCCUGACGGAGCAACGCCGAGUGAGUGAUGAAGGUCUUCGGAUCGUAAAACUCUGUUAUUGGGGAAGAACAAAUGUGUAAGUAACUAUGCACGUCUUGACGGUACCUAAUCAGAAAGCCACGGCUAACUACGUG
Molecule: ribosomal RNA, 497 nt
Filed under: uncultured bacterium
Lineage: Bacteria
Description: partial 16S ribosomal RNA
Rfam family: Bacterial small subunit ribosomal RNA
Source: RNAcentral